RNAcentral lists this ribosomal RNA (2891 nucleotides) under Vibrio japonicus. RNAcentral describes it as "23S ribosomal RNA". It matches the Rfam family "Bacterial large subunit ribosomal RNA". Lineage: Bacteria; Pseudomonadati; Pseudomonadota; Gammaproteobacteria; Vibrionales; Vibrionaceae. The record is from RNAcentral.
GGUUAAGUGACUAAGCGUACACGGUGGAUGCCUUGGCAGUCAGAGGCGAUGAAGGACGUAUUAACUUGCGAUAAGCCCAGAUUAGGCAGUAAAAGCCACUUGAGUCUGGGAUUUCCGAAUGGGGAAACCCACGUGCAUAAGCACGUAUCUUGUACUGAAUACAUAGGUGCAAGAGGCGAACCGGGGGAACUGAAACAUCUAAGUACCCCGAGGAAAAGAAAUCAACCGAGAUUCCGAAAGUAGCGGCGAGCGAAAUUGGACUAGCCCUUAAGCUUUAUAUGCGUUAGACGAACGGUCUGGAAAGUCCGGCGAUACAGGGUGAUAGCCCCGUAGUUGACAACGCACAUUCAGUGAAAUCGAGUAGGGCGGGACACGUGAUAUCCUGUCUGAAUAUGGGGGGACCAUCCUCCAAGGCUAAAUACUACUGACUGACCGAUAGUGAACCAGUACCGUGAGGGAAAGGCGAAAAGAACCCCUGUGAGGGGAGUGAAAUAGAACCUGAAACCGUGUACGUACAAGCAGUAGGAGCAGGCUUUGUCCUGUGACUGCGUACCUUUUGUAUAAUGGGUCAGCGACUUAUAUUCAGUGGCAAGGUUAACCAUCUAGGGGAGCCGUAGGGAAACCGAGUCUUAACUGGGCGCUCAGUCUCUGGAUAUAGACCCGAAACCAGGUGAUCUAGCCAUGGGCAGGUUGAAGGUUGAGUAACAUCAACUGGAGGACCGAACCGACUAAUGUUGAAAAAUUAGCGGAUGACUUGUGGCUAGGGGUGAAAGGCCAAUCAAACCUGGAGAUAGCUGGUUCUCCCCGAAAGCUAUUUAGGUAGCGCCUCGGACGAAUACUACUGGGGGUAGAGCACUGUUAAGGCUAGGGGGUCAUCCCGACUUACCAACCCUUUGCAAACUCCGAAUACCAGUAAGUACUAUCCGGGAGACACACGGCGGGUGCUAACGUCCGUCGUGGAGAGGGAAACAACCCAGACCGCCAGCUAAGGUCCCAAAUUAUAGCUAAGUGGGAAACGAUGUGGGAAGGCUUAGACAGCUAGGAUGUUGGCUUAGAAGCAGCCAUCAUUUAAAGAAAGCGUAAUAGCUCACUAGUCGAGUCGGCCUGCGCGGAAGAUGUAACGGGGCUAAGCUAUAAACCGAAGCUGCGGCAAUGCAGUUUACUGCAUUGGGUAGGGGAGCGUUCUGUAAGCCGUUGAAGGUGAGUUGUAAAGCUUGCUGGAGGUAUCAGAAGUGCGAAUGCUGACAUGAGUAACGAUAAAGGGGGUGAAAAACCCCCUCGCCGGAAGACCAAGGGUUCCUGUCCAACGUUAAUCGGGGCAGGGUAAGUCGACCCCUAAGGCGAGGCUGAAAAGCGUAGUCGAUGGGAAACGGGUUAAUAUUCCCGUACUUCUUACAAUUGCGAUGGGGGGACGGAGAAGGCUAGGUGGGCCUGGCGACGGUUGUCCAGGUUCAAGUGCGUAGGCUUAAGAGUUAGGUAAAUCCGGCUCUUUCUAAGGCUGAGACACGACGUCGAGCACCUACGGGUGUGAAGUCAUUGAUGCCAUGCUUCCAGGAAAAGCCUCUAAGCUUCAGAUUGUAAGGAAUCGUACCCCAAACCGACACAGGUGGUCGGGUAGAGAAUACCAAGGCGCUUGAGAGAACUCGGGUGAAGGAACUAGGCAAAAUGGUACCGUAACUUCGGGAGAAGGUACGCUCUUGACGGUGAAGUCCCUUGCGGAUGGAGCUAUUGAGAGUCGCAGAUACCAGGUGGCUGCAACUGUUUAUUAAAAACACAGCACUGUGCAAAAUCGUAAGAUGACGUAUACGGUGUGACGCCUGCCCGGUGCCGGAAGGUUAAUUGAUGGGGUUAGACUUCGGUCGAAGCUCUUGAUCGAAGCCCCGGUAAACGGCGGCCGUAACUAUAACGGUCCUAAGGUAGCGAAAUUCCUUGUCGGGUAAGUUCCGACCUGCACGAAUGGCGUAAUGAUGGCCACGCUGUCUCCACCCGAGACUCAGUGAAAUUGAAAUCGCUGUGAAGAUGCAGUGUACCCGCGGCUAGACGGAAAGACCCCGUGAACCUUUACUACAGCUUGGCACUGAACAUUGAGCCUACAUGUGUAGGAUAGGUGGGAGGCUUUGAAACCGGUACGCCAGUAUCGGUGGAGCCGACCUUGAAAUACCACCCUUGUAUGUUUGAUGUUCUAACUUAGCCCCGUCAUCCGGGGUGAGGACAGUGCCUGGUGGGUAGUUUGACUGGGGCGGUCUCCUCCCAAAGAGUAACGGAGGAGCACGAAGGUGGGCUAAUCACGGUUGGACAUCGUGAGGUUAGUGCAAUGGCAUAAGCCCGCUUGACUGCGAGAAUGACAAUUCGAGCAGGUGCGAAAGCAGGUCAUAGUGAUCCGGUGGUUCUGAAUGGAAGGGCCAUCGCUCAACGGAUAAAAGGUACUCCGGGGAUAACAGGCUGAUACCGCCCAAGAGUUCAUAUCGACGGCGGUGUUUGGCACCUCGAUGUCGGCUCAUCACAUCCUGGGGCUGAAGUCGGUCCCAAGGGUAUGGCUGUUCGCCAUUUAAAGUGGUACGCGAGCUGGGUUUAGAACGUCGUGAGACAGUUCGGUCCCUAUCUGCCGUGGGCGUUGGAAGAUUGAAGGGGGCUGCUCCUAGUACGAGAGGACCGGAGUGGACGAACCUCUGGUGUUCGGGUUGUGUCGCCAGACGCAUUGCCCGGUAGCUAAGUUCGGAAUCGAUAACCGCUGAAAGCAUCUAAGCGGGAAGCGAGCCCUGAGAUGAGUCUUCCCUGACUCCUUGAGAGUCCUGAAGGGUUGUUCGAGACUAGAACGUUGAUAGGCAGGGUGUGUAAGCGUUGUGAGGCGUUGAGCUAACCUGUACUAAUUGCCCGUGAGGCUUAACCAU